Molecule: ribosomal RNA, 202 nt
Filed under: uncultured bacterium
Lineage: Bacteria
Description: partial 16S ribosomal RNA
Source: RNAcentral
GCUACUGUGUGUGUGCGCACGCCGCGCCCGGGGAUUGCGCGGGGCGCGGCGGGCAAAGUGUGUAUGAAUAACGCCUUCGGGUUGUAGACUUCUUUUUGUAAAAGAGGAAGGGGUUGAAGUAAAUAACCUCAUUAAUUGACGUUACCCGCGAAAGAACCACCGGCUACUCCGUGCCAGCUCCCGGGGUAAUAAAAAGGUAAUA